This 112-nucleotide ribosomal RNA is filed under the name uncultured Parabacteroides sp. RNAcentral describes it as "partial 16S ribosomal RNA". It matches the Rfam family "Bacterial small subunit ribosomal RNA", at positions 420 to 529 of the family's 1533-position model. Lineage: Bacteria; Pseudomonadati; Bacteroidota; Bacteroidia; Bacteroidales; Tannerellaceae. The record is from RNAcentral.
GGUUNGUAANCUUCUUUUGCAGGGGAAUAAAGUGCGGGACGUGUCCUGUUUUGUAUGUACCCUGAGAAUAAGGAUCGGCUAACUCCUAUGCCAGCAGCCGCGGUAAUACGGA